CAGCAGCCGCGGUAAUACGAAGGGUGCAAGCGUUACUCGGAAUUACUGGGCGUAAAGCGUGCGUAGGUGGUGGUUUAAGUCCGUUGUGAAAGCCCUGGGCUCAACCUGGGAAUUGCAGUGGAUACUGGGUCACUAGAGUGUGGUAGAGGAUAGUGGAAUUUCCGGUGUAGCAGUGAGAUGCGUAGAGAUCGGAAAGAACAUCUGUGGCGAAGGCGACUAUCUGGGCCAACACUGACACUGAGGCACGAAAGCGUGGGGAGCAAACAGGAUUAGAUACCUCGGUAGUCCCUGUCUCUUAUAC
Molecule: ribosomal RNA, 301 nt
Filed under: uncultured bacterium
Lineage: Bacteria
Description: partial 16S ribosomal RNA
Rfam family: Bacterial small subunit ribosomal RNA
Source: RNAcentral